This 464-nucleotide ribosomal RNA is filed under the name uncultured bacterium. RNAcentral describes it as "bacterial SSU rRNA". It matches the Rfam family "Bacterial small subunit ribosomal RNA", at positions 338 to 795 of the family's 1533-position model. The record is from RNAcentral.
CCUACGGGCUGCAGCAGUAGGGAAUCUUCGGCAAUGGACGAAAGUCUGACCGAGCAACGCCGCGUGAGUGAAGAAGGUUUUCGGAUCGUAAAACUCUGUUGUUAGAGAAGAACAAGUAGGAGAGUAACUGCUCUUACCUUGACGGUAUCUACCAGAAAGCCACGGCUAACUACGUGCCAGCAGCCGCGGUAAUACGUAGGUGGCAAGCGUUGUCCGGAUUUAUUGGGCGUAAAGCGAGCGCAGGCGGUCUUUUAAGUCUGAUGUGAAAGCCCUCGGCUCAACCGAGGAAGGUCAUUGGAAACUGGAGGACUUGAGUGCAGAAGAGGAGAGUGGAAUUCCAUGUGUAGCGGUGAAAUGCGUAGAUAUAUGGAGGAACACCAGUGGCGAAGGCGACUCUCUGGUCUGUAACUGACGCUGAGGCUCGAAAGCGUGGGGAGCAAACAGGAUUAGAUACCCCCGUAGUC